This 522-nucleotide ribosomal RNA is filed under the name Colletotrichum gloeosporioides. Its description in RNAcentral is "eukaryotic LSU rRNA". The stretch from base 192 to 345 matches the Rfam family "5.8S ribosomal RNA". Lineage: Eukaryota; Fungi; Ascomycota; Sordariomycetes; Glomerellales; Glomerellaceae. The record is from RNAcentral.
ACCAGCGGAGGGAUCAUUACUGAGUUUACGCUCUAUAACCCUUUGUGAACAUACCUAUAACUGUUGCUUCGGCGGGUAGGGUCUCCGUGACCCUCCCGGCCUCCCGCCCCCGGGCGGGUCGGCGCCCGCCGGAGGAUAACCAAACUCUGAUUUAACGACGUUUCUUCUGAGUGGUACAAGCAAAUAAUCAAAACUUUUAACAACGGAUCUCUUGGUUCUGGCAUCGAUGAAGAACGCAGCGAAAUGCGAUAAGUAAUGUGAAUUGCAGAAUUCAGUGAAUCAUCGAAUCUUUGAACGCACAUUGCGCCCGCCAGCAUUCUGGCGGGCAUGCCUGUUCGAGCGUCAUUUCAACCCUCAAGCUCUGCUUGGUGUUGGGGCCCUACAGCUGAUGUAGGCCCUCAAAGGUAGUGGCGGACCCUCCCGGAGCCUCCUUUGCGUAGUAACUUUACGUCUCGCACUGGGAUCCGGAGGGACUCUUGCCGUAAAACCCCCAAUUUUCCAAAGGUUGACCUCGGAUCAUGU